GGAGAGAUGGCCGAGUUGGCUGAAGGCGGUCGCCUGCUAAGCGACUAAGCGAGUUAAAGCUUGCUUCGAGGGUUCGAAUCCCUCUCUCUCCGCCA
RNAcentral lists this transfer RNA (95 nucleotides) under Bacillota bacterium. RNAcentral describes it as "tRNA-Ser". It matches the Rfam family "tRNA". From Rfam's summary of the family: Transfer RNA (tRNA) molecules are approximately 80 nucleotides in length. Their secondary structure includes four short double-helical elements and three loops (D, anti-codon, and T loops). Lineage: Bacteria; Bacillati; Bacillota. The record is from RNAcentral.